UACAGAGGGUGCGAGCGUUGUCCGGAAUCACUGGGCGUAAAGGGCGCGUAGGUGGUGGCUUAAGCGUGCGGUGAAAGCUCGGAGCUCAACUCCGAGUCGGCCGUGCGAACUGGGCUCACUGGAGCAUAGUAGAGGCAGGUGGAAUUCCGGGUGUAGCGGUGGAAUGCGUAGAGAUCCGGAAGAACACCGGUGGCGAAGGCGGCCAACUGGACCAUUACUGACGCUGAGGCGCGAAAGCGUGGGGAGCAAACAGG
This 254-nucleotide ribosomal RNA is filed under the name uncultured bacterium. RNAcentral's name for it is "partial 16S ribosomal RNA". It matches the Rfam family "Bacterial small subunit ribosomal RNA", at positions 524 to 776 of the family's 1533-position model. The record is from RNAcentral.